AACGAACGCUGGCGGCAUGCCUAACACAUGCAAGUCGAACGAAGGCUUCGGCCUUAGUGGCGCACGGGUGCGUAACGCGUGGGAAUCUGCCCUUUGGUUCGGAAUAACAGCUGGAAACGGCUGCUAAUACCGGAUGAUGACGAAAGUCCAAAGAUUUAUCGCCAGAGGAUGAGCCCGCGUUGGAUUAGGUAGUUGGUGGGGUAAAGGCCUACCAAGCCGACGAUCCAUAGCUGGUCUGAGAGGAUGAUCAGCCACACUGGGACUGAGACACGGCCCAGACUCCUACGGGAAGCAGCAGUGGGGAAUAUUGGACAAUGGGCGCAAGCCUAAUCCAGCAAUGCCGCGUGAGUGAUGAAGGCCCUAGGGUUGUAAAGCUCUUUUACCCGGGAAGAUAAUGACUGUACCGGGAGAAUAAGCCCCGGCUAACUCCGUG
Molecule: ribosomal RNA, 433 nt
Filed under: uncultured bacterium
Lineage: Bacteria
Description: partial 16S ribosomal RNA
Rfam family: Bacterial small subunit ribosomal RNA
Source: RNAcentral